Notothenia coriiceps (black rockcod) is the source of this 1894-nucleotide long non-coding RNA. RefSeq lists it as uncharacterized. The record is from RefSeq and is a predicted model, not a curated record. The transcript is spliced from 3 exons. NCBI's taxonomy places the organism in Eukaryota, Metazoa, Chordata, Actinopteri, Perciformes, Nototheniidae.
GGCUCCACCCCGUCGGCACGCUAAGUGACAUAAAUCAAACACAACGAAAUGACCGGAACAGGUGGUACCGCUAAAGUUUUCAAAAUGGAUCUUCAGGUGAUGUCGGCGUUCAUUGAGGGGCUUGUACCUUCAGUGAGAUUAGUUUGUAAAGAAAUAUCCUGCUCACUUUACAACUUCACACACACUCAUUCCACCCCAAAAUGUUUAAAAAUGUUGAGUGUUUGGGACAUAAAGACUGAGUGGACUGCUUAAUGCUUGAAACAGCUUUAUUUGAAAGAUGUUGAUCCUGGAGCAUAUUGGGGGGACUUCAUGGUGCACAAGACUGACGGGAGGCCCUUCAAACCGCAGGUCCAUGGUUGGAUGCUUCUCUGCGGGCAAUAAGAGGACCGACAGGCUCUAUUUUCAAAAACCCAGUAGCGCAGCUACAUCGCAGUCAGGUGCACCUUGCCAAAUGUGUCAGGAACGUGCCAAACACACCUUUGGUAAUUUCGUUACCGGACUCUUGGUGCAGCUAUAGCACACAGUGCGCAGAAGGCAGAGGUGUAUAAGAUGCAACCCAGGGACCAACACAAACCCCAAGUCUUUCUCAGCACGUGAGAAAAGAAGGAUAAACCGGUUUCUUUCAAGCUCCAGGAACUCCGGAGCAGACUGUGAAUGGUAUCUUUUAUUUAUGGACGGCGUCGGUGUGAUACAUAAAUAAUUUCUUCAACAGGGUAUCGGGGGCUUGCAGUGCCAAUCCCAGCCGUGGCUGAUUUGCAAUUUAGGUGUGGCACUGAAGGCCAGUAGUGCUGGAUUUGGCAUUGAGAAAAAAUAGACAAGAGCUGUGAUCGUGUGUGACACUGAAUAGGAUUACCAUCUGUAGCCGAAGAGCCGAUUGCUGCCCUGGAUUGUAUUAAAAUGAGGGGACAUCAGAUUGGUUUGUGGUCGUGACAAGAAAGCAGAUUUUGUUUUAUAGCUUGAGCACGGUGCUUCUAAAUAGUCCUGCUUAAAGCUGCAUUUCAGAUACUGAUUUUAAUUCAAUUUUUUGUUGCAAUGGUUCAACUGCAAUUACAACCUACACAAAGUUUCUGGCAUAAGAGCUCAGUGAUACAAUGAUGGUUUCAAAUCAAAUACGUGACUUGUACCUUUUUAUGAUGAGAAUGUUGUUCUUUUUCACAUCUUUCUUGGGCUAAUGGAUGGAGGCAGAAAGGAGGCAUUGCUUCCUGUUAAGUCUGUUCCAUGAACUCUGAAAGGGCAGUAGGGAGAAAGUAUUUCCAUUAUGUUCCAGUAGAGGCAGCUUAACUUUCUCUUUGUUCUGUGUAUUGAUUCUAGUGUAUUGUGGCUCUGUGCGCCGAGCCAGUGAACCACCCACCAGCUGUCCUUGCGGUGUCAGCGAAGUGAAUAGGAGUUUGAUAAAGUCGCAGAUGUUAUGCUGCUCCCACUCCUCCGUAACUGCCAUUCCUGAUGUGUUGCUACAUACACGGAGUCAAUACAAUUUCAACCGUUGGAGCUGAACAUUGAUUAGGAUAGGUUGAAGGUCCUAUGUUUGUUUGUCUGUUUCACAUGUGUGUGUUUCAGGCAUUCACAUGUGAUGUUGAACCUGUACUCUGCACAAAAGCAUAAUUAUUGCCCUUUUUCAAUUUAUUUCUUAAUAACAUUUUUGGAAAUAGAGCAUGAUACAUACAUUUUAACAAUAAGUGGAUUUCUACCCUGCACUGAUUUCCCCUGUGAAUCUUUUUGCUUGGAAGUAUACCUGUGAAACUGAUUUUGCUGAUGUGUACAACUGAGUAAGGCUGCAACUCAUUGGGAGGCUUGGUCACAUCAUCAAGUUAAGGGACAACAAUUGCAGCUAAACCAAUUAAUUUGAAUGGAAUUGCUAUGAUCAAUAAAUUCAGUCGUAUGCAGAGACAAUGUA